UACGGAGGAUGCAAGCGUUAUCCGGAAUGAUUGGGCGUAAAGCGUCCGCAGGUGGCGAUGUAAGUCUGCUGUUAAAGAGUCUAGCUCAACUAGAUAAGAGCAGUGGAAACUACAUAGCUAGAGUACGUUCGGGGCAGAGGGAAUUCCUGGUGUAGCGGUGAAAUGCGUAGAGAUCAGGAAGAACACCGGUGGCGAAGGCGCUCUGCUGGACCUUAACUGACACUGAGGGACGAAAGCUAGGGGAGCGAAUGGG
This 253-nucleotide ribosomal RNA is filed under the name uncultured bacterium. RNAcentral describes it as "partial 16S ribosomal RNA". It matches the Rfam family "Bacterial small subunit ribosomal RNA", at positions 524 to 776 of the family's 1533-position model. The record is from RNAcentral.